This 1343-nucleotide ribosomal RNA is filed under the name uncultured bacterium. Its description in RNAcentral is "16S ribosomal RNA". It matches the Rfam family "Bacterial small subunit ribosomal RNA", at positions 28 to 1378 of the family's 1533-position model. The record is from RNAcentral.
GACGAACGCUGGCGGCGUGCUUAACACAUGCAAGUCGAACGGAAAGGCCCUGCUUUUGUGGGGUGCUCGAGUGGCGAACGGGUGAGUAACACGUGAGUAACCUGCCCUUGACUUUGGGAUAACUUCAGGAAACUGGGGCUAAUACCGGAUAGGAGCUCCUGCUGCAUGGUGGGGGUUGGAAAGUUUCGGCGGUUGGGGAUGGACUCGCGGCUUAUCAGCUUGUUGGUGGGGUAGUGGCUUACCAAGGCCUUGACGGGUAGCCGGCCUGAGAGGGUGACCGGCCACAUUGGGACUGAGAUACGGCCCAGACUCCUACGGGAGGCAGCAGUGGGGAAUAUUGCACAAUGGGCGGAAGCCUGAUGCAGCAACGCCGCGUGCGGGAUGACGGCCUUCGGGUUGUAAACCGCUUUCGCCUGUGACGAAGCGUGAGUGACGGUAAUGGGUAAAGAAGCACCGGCUAACUACGUGCCAGCAGCCGCGGUGAUACGUAGGGUGCGAGCGUUGUCCGGAUUUAUUGGGCGUAAAGGGCUCGUAGGUGGUUGAUCGCGUCGGAAGUGUAAUCUUGGGGCUUAACCCUGAGCGUGCUUUCGAUACGGGUUGACUUGAGGAAGGUAGGGGAGAAUGGAAUUCCUGGUGGAGCGGUGGAAUGCGCAGAUAUCAGGAGGAACACCAGUGGCGAAGGCGGUUCUCUGGGCCUUUCCUGACGCUGAGGAGCGAAAGCGUGGGGAGCGAACAGGCUUAGAUACCCUGGUAGUCCACGCUGUAAACGGUGGGUACUAGGUGUGGGGUCCGUUCCACGGGUUCCGUGCCGUAGCUAACGCUUUAAGUACCCCGCCUGGGGAGUACGGCCGCAAGGCUAAAACUCAAAGGAAUUGACGGGGCCCCGCACAAGCGGCGGAGCAUGCGGAUUAAUUCGAUGCAACGCGUAGAACCUUACCUGGGUUUGACAUGGAUCGGGAGUGCUCAGAGAUGGGUGUGCCUCUUUUGGGGUCGGUUCACAGGUGGUGCAUGGCUGUCGUCAGCUCGUGUCGUGAGAUGUUGGGUUAAGUCCCGCAACGAGCGCAACCCUUGUUCACUGUUGCCAGCACGUUAUGGUGGGGACUCAGUGGAGACCGCCGGGGUCAACUCGGAGGAAGGUGGGGAUGACGUCAAGUCAUCAUGCCCCUUAUGUCCAGGGCUUCACGCAUGCUACAAUGGCUGGUACAGAGAGUGGCGAGCCUGUGAGGGUGAGCGAAUCUCGGAAAGCCGGUCUCAGUUCGGAUUGGGGUCUGCAACUCGACCUCAUGAAGUCGGAGUCGCUAGUAAUCGCAGAUCAGCAACGCUGCGGUGAAUACGUUCCCGGG